GUAGCUCAAUUAGGUCUANCGGUUGAUCAAACCGAAUCAAGAGUUGGUUAGAUAAGAUCAUGAAAGCUAAUAAUUGACCAGCCUAAUAGGAUUAAGUCUGGGUCAAGGUUGAAUCACAUUUAGAUGUGACUCGAUCAAGUUAAGACCUAAUUUGGCUCAGUGGUUAGAGCCUGGAUUGUAGGCUAACCCCAUUAGUUCUGGUUCAACAAUUUGGUGUCUAAGGUAAGUUGGGCAGAUGCGACCGAUUGGUUUUUAAUUGGGAGCUACUCGACUCGAAUACGUUCUUGUCGAGUUAAUGGCAUAUCCCUCCCACC
This 314-nucleotide long non-coding RNA is filed under the name Elaeis guineensis (African oil palm). Its description in RNAcentral is "long non-coding RNA (EGUI_LNC061419)". Lineage: Eukaryota; Viridiplantae; Streptophyta; Magnoliopsida; Arecales; Arecaceae. The record is from RNAcentral.